RNAcentral lists this ribosomal RNA (466 nucleotides) under uncultured bacterium. Its description in RNAcentral is "partial 16S ribosomal RNA". It matches the Rfam family "Bacterial small subunit ribosomal RNA", at positions 28 to 507 of the family's 1533-position model. The record is from RNAcentral.
GAUGAACGCUGGCGGCGUGCUUAACACAUGCAAGUCGAACGAUGAAGCCCAGCUUGCUGGGUGGAUUAGUGGCGAACGGGUGAGUAACACGUGAGUAACCUGCCCUUAACUCUGGGAUAAGCCUGGGAAACUGGGUCUAAUACCGGAUAGGAGCGUCCACCGCAUGGUGGGUGUUGGAAAGAUUUAUCGGUUUUGGAUGGACUCGCGGCCUAUCAGCUUGUUGGUGAGGUAAUGGCUCACCAAGGCGACGACGGGUAGCCGGCCUGAGAGGGUGACCGGCCACACUGGGACUGAGACACCGCCCAGACUCCUACGGGAGGCAGCAGUGGGGAAUAUUGCACAAUGGGCGCAAGCCUGAUGCAGCGACGCCGCGUGAGGGAUGACGGCCUUCGGGUUGUAAACCUCUUUCAGUAGGGAAGAAGCGAAAGUGACGGUACCUGCAGAAGAAGCACCGGCUAACUACGUG